RNAcentral lists this ribosomal RNA (429 nucleotides) under Acidobacteriota bacterium. RNAcentral describes it as "Acidobacteria bacterium partial 16S ribosomal RNA". It matches the Rfam family "Bacterial small subunit ribosomal RNA", at positions 355 to 776 of the family's 1533-position model. The record is from RNAcentral. Lineage: Bacteria; Pseudomonadati; Acidobacteriota.
UGGGGAAUUUUGGACAAUGGGGGAAACCCUGAUCCAGCCAUCCCGCGUGUGCGAUGAAGGCCUUCGGGUUGUAAAGCACUUUUGGCAGGAAAGAAACGUCAUGGGUUAAUACCCCGUGAAACUGACGGUACCUGCAGAAUAAGCACCGGCUAACUACGUGCCAGCAGCCGCGGUAAUACGUAGGGUGCAAGCGUUAAUCGGAAUUACUGGGCGUAAAGCGUGCGCAGGCGGUUCGGAAAGAAAGAUGUGAAAUCCCAGAGCUCAACUUUGGAACUGCAUUUUUAACUACCGGGAUAGAGUGUGUCAGAGGGAGGUGGAAUUCUGCGUGUAGCAGUGAAAUGCGUAGAUAUGCGGAGGAACACCGAUGGCGAAGGCAGCCUCCUGGGAUAACACUGACGCUCAUGCACGAAAGCGUGGGGAGCAAACAGG